AGGGACCUUCAUAGCUUUAAGCUUGCUAGCUUAGCAAAGCAAUGUUGGCGACUACUCCAAUAUCUAGAAUCUCUUUAUGUACGAGUAUUAAGUGCUAAAUACUUUCCUAAUGGGGACAUUCUAAAGUCUGGACCGAAGAAAGGAUCGUCGUUCAAAUGGCAAAGUAUUGUGGCUGGUAUUCAGACAUUCAAAUGA
This 195-nucleotide ribosomal RNA is filed under the name Triticum aestivum (bread wheat). Its description in RNAcentral is "partial small subunit ribosomal RNA". Lineage: Eukaryota; Viridiplantae; Streptophyta; Magnoliopsida; Poales; Poaceae. The record is from RNAcentral.